This is a long non-coding RNA of Bos indicus x Bos taurus (hybrid cattle), 2087 nucleotides long. NCBI's taxonomy places the organism in Eukaryota, Metazoa, Chordata, Mammalia, Artiodactyla, Bovidae. The record is from Ensembl.
AGAUAAGAAAAGCGAAUGGGAUAGCUUUCCUCAGCCCAAUGCCAUAAUCCCCAUUAUGCCACCCGAUCUGGAAAGUGCCAAGGAUUUAGUCGGUGCUUCUUUUAAGUUAAGCAUUUCAAAAGUGUCAUCAUUGUGGUUACAGAGAGUAAGGAGCAAUUUAUGUUGGUGGCACCACCUCAUAUGGCAUUUGUCCUGUGGAGAAGUCAAACAUGUCAGAGGCUGACAUUCUCAUAUGGAGGUGACAUUAAACAAACAAGGUGGCGGGGAACUCUUUAAGUCACCUGAAAUUUUGUGAGCAGUCAAUCAAUAGUUCUGACAAGCUGGGGCCACACUUGCCCGUGACCACUGGGUUUUGCUUCUCACACCGCACACUUGACAGGAACUGUGCCGCUAAUUUGGGACACUAAGCCUGUCUCUCUACCCUGACUUUUCCCCACUGAUAGUGCAUUUUGAAAAAAAAUGACCUUUGAAAAGACCCAGGCUGAUGACGAUUUCUACCGACCACUAAGUAGGUGGGAUUACUUGGAAAUAUCAGAUUGUUGACUAAUCCUUUCUGUUUUCAGCAGCCUGUUUGAGCUGGUGGCAGAGGCAGUAUCUUACCCAAGCUGAGUCUCACUCUAUUUAAAUCCUUAUUUAUGAACGUAAAGACAGGGGCUGGAGGGGCCCAGGUGAGGCUGGUUCCCAAAGGAAAACCACAAGGCUAUUGUAAAUUCCUUGAACAAGAUGCAAGGUCGACUGCGCUUCAUUCCACAGCAAGAGAUAACACUUCAAAUCCAAGUGCUCCCGGAAGGGAGGGAAGACCUGGGCUUCAGUUCAUGCUAAGUUGUAAAUCACUAAUAUUGGAAAGUUUUUCUCAACCAGGUUUUGAUUGAGGAAGGAAGGCCAGCGUGAUGGUUCUGGCUGACCAAGGGUGGGGAGUCAUGUUGGGAGAGAGAGCCUCACUUCUUCGGCCAUGGGAGAGAGGCUGGCACAAAGCUGGGGUCCUCUCUGGGGUGAAUACCGGCUCAGGAAAACCACAGGAGCCAUUCCUUCACGUGGACCCAACUAUGGACCAGAACAUUCUUCUCAUGGAGAUGGCAGAUACAUAAGAACAAGCCCGGUUGUACAAGUGUGCCCCACUCCUGAGUUACUGCUUUGCUGUGGCCAUCUGGUUUCCAAGGUCCUGCUGGAUGGGUCAGCACACCAAAUUACAAGAUGCUAGAUUUUGCCUGGAGUAUAAGGAUACUGUUUGCAUGAGUCUUCUUCUGGAAUCAACAGUCAAACAUGCCCAACAUGCUAGUAAUCAGAAUGAGUUUUAUUUCAAUUGUUUAUAACUGUAAUUAUACUUAACAAAUACCUGUUUAUCCCCCAGGAGUUAGCAAAUGGGCCCUCACCCAAGUCUAAUAGCGGAUGGGGGAUUAGGGAAUGAAGGAAUGUUAGUACAAAUUUCACAAUCACUGAGUUAGGUGUAUAACAUCUUUUAUUUCUAUGAGAUUCAACUGAAAUUGGCCUGGCACUCCAUUCUACCAAAUUGCAGAAAACUUGACCUAUACCUCCACAUAAAUAGAGUCAGAGAUUGUAAAAAUCUCACCCAGUUCAGGGUCUUGCCCCCAAUUUCCAGUGCUUCUAAGCUCUGGUGGGCUGGUGGUGGUCCAGGCCUGGGAGUGCGGUCUCUUGUAGGAGAUUGAUUUCUGUCCUGCCCUGCUUUUUGGCCCAGAUGUGGGCUUGAUGCUUAUUUGGUCUUUAGCACCCACCAUACUGCCUGUGCCUGGAAAACACCUGUAUCCAGCUCACAAGGUAUAUGCUAUUACCUGGCUGCUGCCUAGUCUGGCUGUGGAACCACUCCACACCUUUGUCGUCUCCUCUCAGCCACUCUGGACCAAGCUAAGCUGUGAUCACCUCUCUGAGAUCCUUCUCAUUUCAAGCCCCAAGACAAGCUACCAAUGCCCCUUGGGCAUUGUCUUGGCUUGACCAAGAGCUCCUUUGAAAGGUGCUUCUGCUUAGGGAUUCACCCAAACUCAUCUGCCCUUUCCUCUGGAAUUCUUCUUGUCCUGGCCCAGGGACCAGCCAGGCUUAGUUGGGGAUGGGCUAGGGGGUUCCUUUGUGUG